This is a non-coding RNA of Trichobilharzia regenti, 44 nucleotides long. The record is from Rfam. Lineage: Eukaryota; Metazoa; Platyhelminthes; Trematoda; Strigeidida; Schistosomatidae.
AUCCAGAUGACGAGUCCAAAUAGAACGAAAUGGACAUCCUGGAU